GCCUAGUGGUUCCUAGAGUCGGCUCUAAAGUGCUGAACUGUGGGUUUUUGUUAACAGGCGCAUAUUGAUUUCUGCAAUUUUAUGCAUGGGAGCUGCCACUAAUAGCAGCCUUCCAUAGCCCGGUUGCAGAUACACUG
This is a small nucleolar RNA of Amphilophus citrinellus (Midas cichlid), 137 nucleotides long. The record is from Ensembl. Lineage: Eukaryota; Metazoa; Chordata; Actinopteri; Cichliformes; Cichlidae.